This 449-nucleotide ribosomal RNA is filed under the name uncultured bacterium. RNAcentral describes it as "partial 16S ribosomal RNA". It matches the Rfam family "Bacterial small subunit ribosomal RNA", at positions 29 to 523 of the family's 1533-position model. The record is from RNAcentral.
AACGAACGCUGGCGGCAGGCCUAAAACAUGCAAGUCGAACGAUGUAGCAAUACAUCGUGGCGCACGGGUGAGUAACGCGUGGGAACGUACCUCUAGGUUAGGAACAACGUCGGGAAACUGACGCUAAUACCUGAUAAUGUCUUCGGACCAAAGAUUUAUCGCCUAGAGAUCGGCCCGCGUUAGAUUAGCUAGUUGGUGGGGUAAAAGCUUACCAAGGCGACGAUCUAUAGCUGGUCUGAGAGGAUGAUCAGCCACACUGGGACUGAGACACGGCCCAGACUUCUACGGGAGGCAGCAGUUAGGAAUAUUGGACAAUGGGGGCAACCCUGAUCCAGCCAUGCUGCGUGUGUGACGAAGGCCUUAGGGUUGUAAAGCACUUUCGUCUGCGAAGAUAAUGACAGUAACAGAAGAAGAAGCUCCGGCUAAAUUCGUGCCAGCAGCCGCGGUAA